RNAcentral lists this ribosomal RNA (378 nucleotides) under uncultured bacterium. RNAcentral describes it as "bacterial SSU rRNA". It matches the Rfam family "Bacterial small subunit ribosomal RNA", at positions 521 to 896 of the family's 1533-position model. The record is from RNAcentral.
UAAUACGUAGGGUGCAAGCGUUGUCCGGAAUUAUUGGGCGUAAAGAGCUCGUAGGCGGUUUGUCGCGUCUGCUGUGAAAUCCCGAGGCUCAACCUCGGGCCUGCAGUGGGUACGGGCAGACUAGAGUGCGGUAGGGGAGAUUGGAAUUCCUGGUGUAGCGGUGGAAUGCGCAGAUAUCAGGAGGAACACCGAUGGCGAAGGCAGAUCUCUGGGCCGUAACUGACGCUGAGGAGCGAAAGCGUGGGGAGCGAACAGGAUUAGAUACCCUGGUAGUCCACGCCGUAAACGUUGGGAACUAGAUGUGGGGACCAUUCCACGGUCUCCGUGUCGCAGCUAACGCAUUAAGUUCCCCGCCUGGGGAGUACGGCCGCAAGGCUA